UUCGUUCAUCCCGUAAGGGACGGAAGUAGGUGAUAAUACCGAAGGAACGCAUC
Molecule: non-coding RNA, 53 nt
Submitted as: unclassified sequences
Source: Rfam